Bombus huntii is the source of this 1246-nucleotide long non-coding RNA. RefSeq lists it as uncharacterized. The record is from RefSeq and is a predicted model, not a curated record. The transcript is spliced from 2 exons. Lineage: Eukaryota; Metazoa; Arthropoda; Insecta; Hymenoptera; Apidae.
CUGAAAAGGAUGCGUGAAUUAGUAUACUUUAUACAUGGUGUCCCGGUGAUCAUGGUAAAAUUGGCAAAGGAUUGGUUCUACGCGAAAAAAUAAAUCAGAAAUAUAGGAUACAAUCUUUUUAUGCGAUGCUCCGUUUUUGUAGAAAAUCGAAUUCCAAAAUUAUAGAUUGUAGAUUUUCAUGCAAAUUGAUAUUUUUAUAAAUCGGCAUGAUAGUUGCCACGGGGGUCAUCGGUGACCUACAAUUUUCUAAGAAUAAUUAAAUUAAGAUAAAUUUCAUAGACCAAGAAAUAUAAUAUGUUGCAUCAAAUAUAGGUUUACGCAAAUUGGUAUUUUUACAAAUUGAACAAGUGGAAUCUAAGCAGAAAUUUCCUUCGUCCACUGAAUAUUGUAAUAUGUACUAUAAUUUGUAUACGUACUUUGUAUAUUUUUUCAUGUUAUGCGCAUUUUCUAUAUUUGUGCAAUGUUAAAUUUCCUAUGCGAAUACAUAAACUUGCAUUUAAACCGUAACUUAUUCAUAAUAUAGCCGCGGGGUUGAUCUAGAUAUCGAUUAGAUUCAAUUGCGCGCGAAUUUUAUUUUUCAUACUUGCAAAUCCGAUAUAGUACAUGAAAAUUUUAUUGUCUGUAUAAUUAGAUGAUUCAUUUAUCUAUUUGAUUAAGUCAAUUUGAAGCGAAAUUGAUCAAUUGCGGCAAAUUAUUAAAGAACGUUUUAAUUUUAUCAGUAUGAAUUUAGAUUACUAUUUAACUUUUCAGAGAUGGAACGUAGAAAUUUUACUUUCCAUACUUUCAAAAGCGAUUUAGUGUGUAAAAUAUUUUAAUGUCUUUUUUAGCAGAUGAUCUAUUUAUUUAAUUAAGUUAAUCAGAAGCAAAAUUGAUCAAUUCCAACGAAUUUUUAUCAAUAUACAUUUAUGAUAUAUACAUUUGCAUUUAAGGUUUCAAAGACGGAAUACAGGUACCCUCGUAUAACACGAUAUAGUUACAUUCGAAAAAUAUGUCGAGUUAUGCGAAUCCGUAUUAUCGUAGAGAUCUUAAUGUAUCUGAAUGAAAAUUAACAAAAGUAUACUAUUCUCUGUUUACAACUAAGAGAAAUACCUUAAGAGAAUUACGUAUUACGUAUAUUACGUAAGCGAGGGCAAUUUCCUUUCUGGCAAAAUAACCUCAUCUUCUAAUUUUCGUUCACUUAUGUACGAUUUCCAUUUAUGUUUGUUGUAAAAAAUGUGAUCGAUGUUUCAUCAGAAAAGCUCCGAAU